GACGAACGCUGGCGGCUUGCUUAACACAUGCAAGUCGAACGGCAAGGCCCUGCUUUUGUGGUCUGCUCUUGUGGCGAACGGGUGAGUAACACGUUAGUUACCUUCCCUUUACUUUUGGAUUACUUCAGGAAACUGGGGCUAAUUCCCGAUAGGUGCUCCUGCUGCAUGGUUUGGGUUGUAAAGUUUCGGCGGUUGGGGAUGUACUCGCGGCUUAUCAGCUUGUUGGUUGGUUAGUGGCUUACCAAGUCUUUGACGGGUAGCCGGCCUGAGAGGGUGACCGGCCACAUUGGGACUGAGAUAGGGCGCAGACUCCUACGGGAGGCAGCAGGGGGGAAUAUUGCACAAUGGGCGGAAGCGUGAUGCAGCAACGCCGCGUGCGGGAUGACGGCCUUCGGGGUGUAAACAGCUUUCGACUGUGACGAAGAGGGAGUGACGGUAAUGGGUAAAGAAGCACCGGCUAACUACGUG
RNAcentral lists this ribosomal RNA (468 nucleotides) under uncultured bacterium. RNAcentral describes it as "partial 16S ribosomal RNA". It matches the Rfam family "Bacterial small subunit ribosomal RNA", at positions 28 to 507 of the family's 1533-position model. The record is from RNAcentral.